Molecule: transfer RNA, 58 nt
Filed under: Bulinus globosus
Lineage: Eukaryota; Metazoa; Mollusca; Gastropoda; Planorbidae
Description: tRNA-Tyr
Source: RNAcentral
UUUUGAAUACUAAAUAUUUAGUGUAGGAUUGUAAAUCUUAUUUAGAAAAUUUUUUCUC